UAUCUGAAAUUCGAAGAUAUAGUUUUAGGCAAUGGGAACACACUCAUUAAGAGGAGUACGGAAAUAACAUCUAAGCCGGCCCAACAGCUAGCCUCACACCCUCCACGCGUUGGUGGUUCGUCAUGAAUAGCCGACGGCGCGGCGGCGCCCUCGCGCGCGUCCUUUUAGACAACGGACGAGGAACAAUGGCCGUAUACCCAUACCGCCGGUUGAACAACUAGCUGAAGGGAAACAGCGGCCUUGGAGUCUAACGGGAAACCAAAGCUCCUAACUUCCCAAGAGAGUCAGCAUAAUAGGUUUAAGAAAGGCAAAUAAUAUAAUAUCUGGCAACCCAGUUGACGUCCGUCACCAAUCACCAUCAUUCCGGGAGGAGUGGUGAGUAAUGUGCUACUGGCCAUGCGGCUGUGACCCCUCAGGCAUCGCAUGAAAAUUUUGCUACAGAUGAAAUUAACACAUGCAAGUCAAUUCGCCAUUCCCAUCUGAUCGGAUCGUGAAAUGUACGAGGCCUUAACCAAGCUGGCAAGCUGGCGAUUGUGGAAUACUAAAUUCAUAGAAAGAACAUUCACCUGCUGAACAUUGACCCGAAAGGUCAGGGUCACAAGACGAAAGUGGCAAAACAGGGUGGCCUUCGUUGUACUACAAUUUACGCUAGUAGGUAUACGCUCCCACAACAAAAUCUUCUGAAGAAGAAGAAGAGACUUUUUAUGAUACGCUUACUGUACCACUUAAAGAACUUCCAGAAAGGGAAGUUGCCUUGAUCUUGGGGGACUUUUUGCCAAAGUAGGAGAUACAACGAUGAAGACAAGUAGGUAUAACGAUGAGCAUCAUUAUACACCGUUGUAAAAGAAACGCAGGACGAAAUUGGUGGAGGAAAAUUAUACAGCUGACCACGAUACUCAGAUAUGAGUUACCGACCCAGUCAGAAAUAAGGAGUAAUUUUUAUUAGCUAGUUCGUACCUGAGUCACAUCCUCCACUGAUUGUUUACUAAAAUGAACUGUUCCAAGUAAAACGACGGUGCCUCGGGCAUCGUUUUGCAAUAAGGUGGCUGAUUGUGGCAAGUUAAGGUUUGAUGUUUUGCUAUAUUUUCGAACGAUACUGGGCAGCAACCCUAAACAUUAAUAUAAAAUGCUUUUUGUUUCAUUGUAAACUAGCGGUCAAACAUACAAUAUUAGAAUAGAUAGGUAAUAUCCAAUAAAUGAGAUAGAUACUGAAACGAUGGUAAAACUGUCAUUGGGCGAUUAUCAAUGUUAGGUUCUAGUGUGCAUUUGCGUUUUUGAUAGGAUGUGAGAGCAAGAAAAGCGUCUCUAAAACAUCGUAAUAUUCCUUAAACAUACUAAAAAUAUUAAGAGUAUUUUGUUCAAUUGUUUACUUACGGUUUUUGCCAUUUUGUUGGACUCCAUGUAAUUUGGUAAACGUCAAAAGGUUCCUUAGUGUAAUACAUGUUUGGUAUCUCA
This is a long non-coding RNA of Pieris napi, 1455 nucleotides long. RefSeq lists it as uncharacterized. The record is from RefSeq and is a predicted model, not a curated record. Lineage: Eukaryota; Metazoa; Arthropoda; Insecta; Lepidoptera; Pieridae. The transcript is spliced from 2 exons.